Molecule: ribosomal RNA, 442 nt
Filed under: uncultured bacterium
Lineage: Bacteria
Description: bacterial SSU rRNA
Rfam family: Bacterial small subunit ribosomal RNA
Source: RNAcentral
GCAAAACGCGAAGAACCUUACCAGGUCUUGACAUCCCGCUGACCGGCCUAGAGAUAGGCUUUUCCCUUCGGGGACAGCGGUGACAGGUGGUGCAUGGUUGUCGUCAGCUCGUGUCGUGAGAUGUUGGGUUAAGUCCCGCAACGAGCGCAACCCUUGAUCUUAGUUGCCAGCAUUCAGUUGGGCACUCUAAGGUGACUGCCGGUGAUAAACCGGAGGAAGGUGGGGAUGACGUCAAAUCAUCAUGCCCCUUAUGACCUGGGCUACACACGUGCUACAAUGGAACGGUACAAACGGUUGCCAACCCGCGAGGGGGAGCUAAUCCGAUAAAAACCCGUUCUCAGUUCGGAUUGUAGGCUGCAACUCGCCUACAUGAAGCCGGAAUCGCUAGUAAUCGCGGAUCAGCAUGCCGCGGUGAAUACGUUCCCGGGUCUUGUACACACCG